Bufo bufo (common toad) is the source of this 140-nucleotide long non-coding RNA. RefSeq lists it as uncharacterized. Lineage: Eukaryota; Metazoa; Chordata; Amphibia; Anura; Bufonidae. The transcript has 3 exons. The record is from RefSeq and is a predicted model, not a curated record.
AAGUUCGGGCUUGGGAUCGGUGUUCUGUAGAUUAGAAAAGGGAAAACAACAGCAUUCCCAAUACAGAAUGCACAGCACAACAGGUCCGGAGGGGUCAAAAAAUAAAUAAAAAUAAUCCAACUCACCUCAACUCACCCUAU